GACGAACGCUGGCGGCGUGCUUAACACAUGCAAGUCGUACGGUAAGGCCCUUUCUGGGGUACCCGAGUGGCGAACGGGUGGGUAACACGUCAGUAACCUGCCCACAACUUUGGGAUAACGCUAGGAAACUGGUGCUAAUACUUGAUAUGUACUCCUUCUGCAUGUUGGGUGGUGGAAAGCUCAGGCGGUUGUGGAUGGACUCGCGGCCUAUCAGCUUGGUGGUGGGGUAGCGGCAUACAAAGGCUGCGACGGGUAGCCGGCCUUGGAGGGUGACCGGCAACAGUCGGACUGAGAUACGGCCAAGACUCCUACGCGAGGCAGAAGUGGGGAAUAUUGAAAUAGGGGAGCAAGCCAGAUGCAGCAACGGCGAGUGCGGGAUGACGGUCUUCGGGUUGUAAACCGAUUUCAGCAGGGCCGAAGAUGUUUGUGACGGUACCGGCAGAAGAAGCACCGGCUAACUCCGUG
Molecule: ribosomal RNA, 465 nt
Filed under: uncultured bacterium
Lineage: Bacteria
Description: partial 16S ribosomal RNA
Rfam family: Bacterial small subunit ribosomal RNA
Source: RNAcentral